GUGCUCAUUUCAACAGUACAUACACUAAAAUUGGAACAAUACAGAGAUUAGCAUGGUCCCUGCACAAGGAUGACACGCAAAUUUGUGAAGCGUUCCAUAUUUUU
This is a non-coding RNA of Pteropus alecto (black flying fox), 104 nucleotides long. The record is from Rfam. Lineage: Eukaryota; Metazoa; Chordata; Mammalia; Chiroptera; Pteropodidae.